GAUGAACGCUAGCGGCAGGCCUAACACAUGCAAGUCGAACGGUAACAGAGAUUGCUUGCAAUCCGCUGACGAGUGGCGCACGGGUGCGUAACGCGUAUAGAACCUACCCUUUACAGGGGGAUAGCCCGGAGAAAUUCGGAUUAAUACCCCAUAGAACUAUUUAAUGGCAUCAUUUUAUAGUUAAAGUUUCGACGGUAAAGGAUGGCUAUGCGUCUUAUUAGUUAGUAGGUGAGGCAACGGCUCACCUAGACAGCGAUAAGUAGGGGCCCUGAGAGGGGGAUCCCCCACACUGGUACUGAGACACGGACCAGACUCCUACGGGAGGCAGCAGUGAGGAAUAUUGGACAAUGGUCGAGAGACUGAUCCAGCCACGCCGCGUGCAGGAAGACGGCCCUACGGGUUGUAAACUGCUUUUUUACGGGAAGAAUAAUACCCACGUGUGGGUAGAUGACGGUACCGUAGGAAUAAGGACCGG
Molecule: ribosomal RNA, 475 nt
Filed under: uncultured bacterium
Lineage: Bacteria
Description: bacterial SSU rRNA
Rfam family: Bacterial small subunit ribosomal RNA
Source: RNAcentral